This 1735-nucleotide long non-coding RNA is filed under the name Vigna radiata. RNAcentral's name for it is "long non-coding RNA (VRAD_LNC010522)". The record is from RNAcentral. Lineage: Eukaryota; Viridiplantae; Streptophyta; Magnoliopsida; Fabales; Fabaceae.
UCCUUUUAAUUAGGAGUUAAUGGGAAUUAGGGUUAGUAUACCAAGUCUGCAGUAUUCUUAUCUUCUUUUGUGUUUCCAAUUGGGCUUGAACCAAAUUUAGGGCCCAACCCUUAUUUCCUUCGAGGGGUCACUUGAGUGUGUCUCAUUCUGCCAUUUUUCUUCUUCCUCAUCUCACUCAAACCAGAAGUUUGAAGCUUCUGCCUUUCUCUCCACCGCGAACGAACCAUCAUUGGGGGCGAGGAUGAUCUGCCUCUUGAGAAGCGGCAACGAUCCCACAACGGCGUUGACGGAGCGAACUCCUUUCUUAUCGGCGAGAGCGCGGCGACGGUGCGACGAAGGCGCAGUGAGGACACAACGUUCUCUCCACAGCAGUGUGCGUCGUAGUAACGGCUCUCCGAGACUCCGAUGGCAUUCUCGUAAAUCUGUGGGUUACUGUUUUCACGUUUGGGUUGUUUUUAUCUUCCUUGCAGGGCUGGGUUUUCUUGAUUGGGAUUAGGGUUCCGAUUGAGGAAUUUAGAGUUUUGAUUUGGGAAAAAUUAAUUUGGGUUCUAAUGCUUGCGAUUAUUAUAUUCUCGCGGUGAUUGUGAUGGCAGUGGUUACCGUUUCGUGGUGGUUGUCGGAGUUGCAAAAGUGGUGCAGCCAUGGAAGUUGCGGUGAGUGGUCGUCGACUUGGCUUGGCCAAGGAGUGUUGCUCUGAUUGACCAUUCUGAAACGGCGAAGUUCUUCUUUGGGCCGGGAGUGAAUCUGGGUUGAUACAGUGGGAACAUAAUUGGGCCGCAGGCCCAGAGUUGAACAUAAAUGAAAUUAUUAAAUUACAAUAAUAAGAAUGUUUAUUUGGUCCUAGUUUGAGAUGUGUAGACUUCGUGAUUAUAUUAAGGUAAAAAAUACCUUUUCUUGUCCCAGUUUUGGUUGGUAACAGUCAAAAUGGUUCCCAUUUGUUUUUUCUGUUCACUUUAGUCCUGAAAAACGUAAUUUAUGUUCAAUUUAGUCUUUUUUCUGUUCAAUGUAUUCCUAAAGAACAUAAUUUGUGUUCAAUUUAGUCCUUGAUUGUGGUUUACGAAGUUUGUAAAAAGGACUAAAUUGAACACAAAUUACGUAAAACAAACUAAAUUGAACACAAAUUACGUUUUUUAGGACUACAUUGAACAAAAAAGUAAAAUGAGGACCAUUUCGAAUAUUUCCAACUAAAAUUGGGAAAAAAAAGGUAUUAUACCUUAUAUUAACUAAUAAAGUUAAAUUGUAAAGAGAGAGAAGAAGAUAGUAAUAAUAUUAAUUAUUAUUAUUAUUAUUAUAAGGAGAAAUUUAUUGGUUAGUAAUUAAUUGGAAUCAGAUUAAUUACUGGAAAAGAGAAAGUAAAUUGGAGUAAGAAGGAAAGUAAUUUAUUGGAAAUCAAAUUAAUUAAAAUUAACUAUUUUGGAAUUUGAAAUUAAUUUACUUUCAAAAAGAGAAGUAGUGAUAAUUUAAUGAUUAAUUAAAGUAAUAAUGAGUUAUUAUUUUGGAUUGAGUUGUGGUUCUUAAAGUAUUAUAUAAAUUUAUAUUGUCCUUAUAUAAGACUUUAUAUUGAUGUGUAAGUAAUGAAAAGGGGGGUGUGAAUAGUAUUUAGUUUGACUAUGGAUUGUGUUUGGUUGACUUUGUUAGUAUUGUACACUUGAAUAAACAGAUGUGUCUAUCCUGUGCCUAGUAAAUCCUGAAUUUUGAACUAUCUACCGUAUGAUUGUGAACCUGUAUGGGGAAG